AUUGAACGCUGGCGGCAUGCCUUACACAUGCAAGUCGAACGGCAGCACGGGAGCAAUCCUGGUGGCGAGUGGCGAACGGGUGAGUAAUAUAUCGGAACGUGCCCGGUCGUGGGGGAUAACGUAGCGAAAGCUACGCUAAUACCGCAUACGAUCUACGGAUGAAAGCGGGGGAUCGCAAGACCUCGCGCGAUUGGAGCGGCCGAUAUCAGAUUAGGUAGUUGGUGAGGUAAAGGCUCACCAAGCCGACGAUCUGUAGCUGGUUUGAGAGGAUGAUCAGCCACACUGGAACUGAGACACGGUCCAGACUCCUACGGGAGGCAGCAGUGGGGAAUAUUGGACAAUGGGCGCAAGCCUGAUCCAGCCAUGCCGCGUGUGUGAGAA
Molecule: ribosomal RNA, 381 nt
Filed under: uncultured bacterium
Lineage: Bacteria
Description: bacterial SSU rRNA
Rfam family: Bacterial small subunit ribosomal RNA
Source: RNAcentral